GGAGUGUUGGAGGGGAAGUACAAUGACUUACCGAAUUGCUCUCUCGUAUCGAUCUGCAAAGGCGCUUGUUGAAAUGCAGAACUGGAGAGCAUUGUUGGAGAAAGAUCAGUUUCAGGUCACAGCUGCGAAUCAAGCAAAGAAGGGGCCGUGUAUUCCAAGGAUGGAAUGAAGGGAAGAUAUACUUUCCGCCAACGUGUAAGUACCUCACCAAAUUCAGAGAGAUAUACAGGAGACAGUUUGCACCAUAAGGAGAAAAAACGAACUCCUGCGUGAUCAGUUAUCAUACGUGCGUGGCGAAUCAAGUUUUUCGGAUCAUAGGCCCGUGUACAUCAUAUUCUGGGCUGAGGUCCAGUCGGUCCAAAGCCGUUUUAGAAGAAGCAUGAGCUCUAGACUCGACUAUGGCGAGGCAUUGUUGCCAUACUCACAUGGCUAUACCGAACUAUGCUUUUUUUAACCCGCCAACAAAACAAAUGGAGCACACAAAGGCUGAUUUUCAUUCGUUAGGUUCGCGCCACAAAUCGUGUAUCAUCAUAUCUAACCAUCCGCUUCUGAUUGCGGCCCGCCAGCUCUCGCCAGUAAACAAGUAAACACGAGUUUACAAUGGCUUUGUCAUAUGCAGGUGCAUCGUAUCCUCAUCACACCACCAAAUGGGAGAUCAAGAUGAUUUCUGUCAUUUUAUAAAUUUUAUUCAUGAUUCUUUGUAGUUGCCUCUAAUGAGUAAUAAAGUAAUUUUUAUCCCAAUCAGCAUGUUGUGAAGCGGCGUAAAUGAAAGUAAAUGUUAUGAGUUA
Molecule: long non-coding RNA, 788 nt
Organism: Helianthus annuus (common sunflower)
Lineage: Eukaryota; Viridiplantae; Streptophyta; Magnoliopsida; Asterales; Asteraceae
Exons: 3
Source: RefSeq, a predicted model, not a curated record